RNAcentral lists this transfer RNA (83 nucleotides) under Danio rerio (zebrafish). It matches the Rfam family "tRNA". Rfam says of the family: Transfer RNA (tRNA) molecules are approximately 80 nucleotides in length. Their secondary structure includes four short double-helical elements and three loops (D, anti-codon, and T loops). Lineage: Eukaryota; Metazoa; Chordata; Actinopteri; Cypriniformes; Danionidae. The record is from Rfam by way of RNAcentral.
GUCAGGAUGGCUGAGUGGUCUAAGGCGCUGCGUUCAGGUAGCAGUCUCCCCUCGAGGCGUGGUUUCAAAUCCCACUUCUGACA